AUCAGAAGUUUUUUAAUCUCAGCGGAGUUCUAGCUCCCUUGCAGAGAUCGCAGCUUGACAGUUGAAGAUGACUCUUUUUUUCUCUCAAGACUCUUUUAAAGAAGAAGCAUAAGAGGAUGAAGAUCUCUAUGCUGGAGAUUAUGAGAACACUUUCUUCUCUUUCUUCCAUACAUAAGAGAGAACGUUUCUCCCUUCAAAAUUCCGGAUCCUUCUUUUUUUUCCUCCCUUUUCACGCCAUAGAAGAAAACCUUUUUCUUCUUUUCUUCCAUGCCUCCAAGUAGGAAAUCUUCCUCUCCCUUUUCCAUGCACAAGAAGGAAGACUCUUCUUCCUUUUCUUCAGCCCAUGAGGAAAACUUUCUUCCUCUCUUUUUCUCAUGCAAACUUCUGAUUUUUCGUCAUGCAAACCAGCAGCCUUUCCAACGUUAAAAACCCCCUUUUAAUUGGCGUGGAUUAGGGCUUGAAGUAGAGAUUGGAUAGCAAUCUUUGGGGCGGCCACAACCCCUGUUUUGUGGGCAUGUAAGAAAGGUGUUUUGGCAAUGGAACUCUUCACGCAAAAUACAAAGAUCGCGUGGGCGUGGAUUGGCAUGGACUUCUUCAAGCU
Molecule: long non-coding RNA, 601 nt
Filed under: Elaeis guineensis (African oil palm)
Lineage: Eukaryota; Viridiplantae; Streptophyta; Magnoliopsida; Arecales; Arecaceae
Description: long non-coding RNA (EGUI_LNC080060)
Source: RNAcentral